AGAAUUUCGGCAGAAGAUGGGCCUGCGUGUCAUUAGUUAGUUGGUAAGGUAACGGCUUACCAAGACGAUGAUGACUAGGGGGUCUGAGAGGAUGACCCCACACUGGAACUGAGACACGGUCCAGACUCCUACGGGAGGCAGCAGUGAGGAAUUUUCCGCAAUGGGCGAAAGCCUGACGGAGCAACGCCGCGUGAGGGAUGAAUGCCUCUGGGCUGUAAACCUCUUUUAUCAAGGAAGAAGAUCUGACGGUACUUGAUGAAUAAGCCACGGCUAAUUCCGUGCCAA
RNAcentral lists this ribosomal RNA (285 nucleotides) under uncultured Synechococcus sp. RNAcentral describes it as "partial 16S ribosomal RNA". It matches the Rfam family "Bacterial small subunit ribosomal RNA", at positions 205 to 511 of the family's 1533-position model. The record is from RNAcentral. Lineage: Bacteria; Bacillati; Cyanobacteriota; Cyanophyceae; Synechococcales; Synechococcaceae.